This 384-nucleotide ribosomal RNA is filed under the name uncultured Bacillota bacterium. RNAcentral describes it as "bacterial SSU rRNA". It matches the Rfam family "Bacterial small subunit ribosomal RNA", at positions 994 to 1382 of the family's 1533-position model. Lineage: Bacteria; Bacillati; Bacillota. The record is from RNAcentral.
AAUGGUCUAGAGAUAGAUCAGGCCUUCGGGACAGAAGAGACAGGUGGUGCAUGGUUGUCGUCAGCUCGUGUCGUGAGAUGUGGUUAAGUCCCGCAACGAGCGCAACCCUUAUCAUUAGUUGCUAACAUUCAGUUGAGAACUCUAAUGAGACUGCCAGUGAUAAACUGGAGGAAGGUGGGGAUGACGUCAAAUCAUCAUGCCCCUUAUGACCUGGGCUACACACGUGCUACAAUGGCCGGUACAAAGAGUUGCGAAACUGUGAAGUUAAGCUAAUCUCAUAAAGCCGGUCUCAGUUCGGAUUGUAGUCUGCAACUCGACUACAUGAAGUCGGAAUCGCUAGUAAUCGCGAAUCAGAAUGUCGCGGUGAAUACGUUCUCGAGUCUU